CAAAAACAUGUUUGUUUGUAGUUAUAGAUGAUUUAGCCUGCCCCCUGAUAAAUUAAUUAAAGGGCCGCAGUAUUUUAACUGUGCAAAGGUAGCAUAAUCAUUAGGUUUUUAAUUGGAAUCUUGUAUGAAUGGCUGGACAAAAGAAAAUCUCUCUUUGUAUUAAAUUUUGAAUUUAACUUUUAAGUGAAAAGGCUUAAAUACUUCAAGGGGACGAUAAGACCCUAUAAAACUUUACAUUGUAGUCGAGAUUUAAUUUGAUUUAAAAAUAAGAGUUUAAUUAGAUUAUUUGUUAUGUUGGGGAGACACAGGUAAAAUUUUUUUAUUUUAACUGCUUUAGAAGUUUAACAAUUAUUAUUGGAGUGUAACAGGUCCUUUUUAAAGAUUAAUAAGUUAAGUUACUUUAGGGAUAACAGCGUAAUUUCUUUUAAGAGUUCUUAUCGAAAAAGAAGAUUGCGACCUCGAUGUUGAAUUAAAAUAUCUAUAUAAUGGAGAAGUUAUAUAAGAAGGUCUGUUCGACCUUUAAAUUUUUACAUGAUUUGAGUUCAAACCGGCGUGAGCCAGGUUGAUUUCCUAUCUCUAA
This 580-nucleotide ribosomal RNA is filed under the name Eosamon daiae. RNAcentral's name for it is "partial large subunit ribosomal RNA". It matches the Rfam family "Bacterial large subunit ribosomal RNA", at positions 1808 to 2647 of the family's 2925-position model. Lineage: Eukaryota; Metazoa; Arthropoda; Malacostraca; Decapoda; Potamidae. The record is from RNAcentral.